CAGCCGCCGCGGGAAUACAGAGGAUGCAAGCGUUAUCCGGAAUGAUUGGGCGUAAAGCGUCUGUAGGUGGCUUCUCAAGUCCGCCGUCAAAUCCCAGGGCUCAACCCUGGACAGGCGGUGGAAACUACCAAGCUGGAGUAUGGUAGGGGCAGAGGGAAUUUCCGGUGGAGCGGUGAAAUGCGUUGAGAUCGGAAAGAACACCAACAGCGAAAUCACUCUGCUAGGCCGACACUGACACUGAGAGACGAAAUCUAGGGGAGCAAAUGGGAUUAGAUACCCCAGUAGUCCCUGUCUCUUAUAC
Molecule: ribosomal RNA, 301 nt
Filed under: uncultured bacterium
Lineage: Bacteria
Description: partial 16S ribosomal RNA
Rfam family: Bacterial small subunit ribosomal RNA
Source: RNAcentral